RNAcentral lists this ribosomal RNA (448 nucleotides) under uncultured bacterium. RNAcentral describes it as "partial 16S ribosomal RNA". It matches the Rfam family "Bacterial small subunit ribosomal RNA", at positions 331 to 793 of the family's 1533-position model. The record is from RNAcentral.
CCAGACUCCUACGGGAGGCAGCAGUGGGGAAUAUUGGGCAAUGGGCGCAAGCCUGACCCAGCAACGCCGCGUGAAGGAAGAAGGCUUUCGGGUUGUAAACUUCUUUUGUCAGGGACGAAGCAAGUGACGGUACCUGACGAAUAAGCCACGGCUAACUACGUGCCAGCAGCCGCGGUAAUACGUAGGUGGCAAGCGUUAUCCGGAUUUACUGGGUGUAAAGGGCGUGUAGGCGGGACUGCAAGUCAGAUGUGAAAACCACGGGCUCAACCUGUGGCCUGCAUUUGAAACUGUAGUUCUUGAGUACUGGAGAGGCAGACGGAAUUCCUAGUGUAGCGGUGAAAUGCGUAGAUAUUAGGAGGAACACCAGGGGCGAAGGCGGUCUGCUGGACAGCAACUGACGUUGAGGCCCGAAAGCGUGGGGAGCAAACAGGAUUAGAUACCCCCGUAC